Long non-coding RNA from Podarcis raffonei (Aeolian wall lizard), 1102 nucleotides. RefSeq lists it as uncharacterized. The record is from RefSeq and is a predicted model, not a curated record. The transcript is spliced from 3 exons. Lineage: Eukaryota; Metazoa; Chordata; Lepidosauria; Squamata; Lacertidae.
UCCAUGUGGAGAUUUCGUCUUACGGGACAAAUAAAAACUACCUUCAGCUAUCUCUCCCAAACACACACCUGAGAUCUCAGCAUCUCACUUCAAAGCGACUCCCUGCUACUACCUGUGGCUGAUCCCUGCCAUCUCUGUCCAGCUGGAUGUGAGUCCCAGGUUUGCUCCUCCCAGCUCUGUUUAGUCUAUUUUACCUCUUUUCCCUCCUUUGGUCUGAGUCUUUGGCUCUUUGCCCACUGUACUGACCACAUCCCCUGACUGUGCUUCUCCUGAACCUCUUGAACUGCAGCAGGACCCUAGGAGCUUCUUAAUUAGAUGCAAAAUAACUCUAAUAUUUAAUAAACCAGGAAAUGAUUUAACAGCUCUAGACACCAUGUCUUUGCCAAUUAAGUAUUUGGCAAUAUUCCCAGUCUUGGCACAAUAACUGUUUAACCUUCAGAGGUGCCUUCAGUGCACUUCCAUCUUGCCUUGAGGUGACUCCUUCUCUGACAAAGAUAUUCAGGGCAGUGAAGGGCCAAUGAAGUAAGGUAGCCUUGCUUUCCUGAGUUGUGAUGUCCUGGAAAAGAGUAGGUAAUGCCAUAUUUGAAGUGGGGAAAUUUAAGUGUGUGUGAGAGAGAGUUUUAACAUGAAUAUUGGUGAGAAAAAUCACCUUGUGGGGAUUUUUUUUACCUUUAAAACAGUCGGGAAUCAGCUAUCCGCAUUCACACCAUCAUGUUGCAAACUUGUGGGUUCCAUUAAAUACUAGAGACAGAUGCAAAUAAGGCAGCAUUUACAUUUCCCAAAGGGAGAGUAGCCAUUCCUUGUUUCUCCCAACAUGCUUUGGUGCAACAUGACAGCUUUUGCGCUUGACAUAAACUAAUUUAAUCAUUAUGCAAAGAGCUUCCUGCAUUAGAUUUGUAAGAUAGCCACAUAUGGCUCCCAAAUAUGCUUUGCAUCACAGACAUGUGCCUCCCUCGCCCCCAUUUCUUAUUUAUUUUUGUUGGUUUAAUAGCUAGGCUAAGGUGAACUCAAAAAUUAGUUCAGUACUUUAUGACUUUCAAUUGAUACUAAUAAAGGCAUUAUUUGAUUGCUAUUGAAGGAAACUAUCCUCUGUGUGUUGCUC